CGAGAAGCUGCAAGGAGACUGCAGGAUUUGUGGAAUUGGAUUGAAAUACAGCCAUAGUUGUAUGUAUUGUCAUCUAGAAAAAGAAAAAGAUCAACAAAAUGAGACUAGACCAAAAUGAAACAACAACAACUGGCCAAACACUUUACUGCACUUUCAUGUGGCCACUCUGAAUCAGUGGGUCACCUGGUAGAGGCAUCUGUACAAUUAUUCGUGACAGAUCACUGUAGUUGGCUUGAAAGAUGCAUUUGUUUGAUUAUGUUUUGGGGAAUUUCUUUUCUUCAUGUCUUUUCUUUCCCCUGUUUUUGUAUAGACUCAUAGACAAGAUUUGACCGGUGUUUUUGUUAAUAGAGGAGUCAAUCUAGACCCAUUAAGCAAGUGAUCAAGGGUAAGAAUUGCUUAAUAUUCAUUUACUUAUUCAUUUGUCAGUUGGCACUACACAUUGAGCAGUUUAAGUAAAAUAUAUAAUCAAUGGCAGGUUGGACUGGUUGUGUAUGAUUCACAAGUUCCAAUUGGUGCCACUCUUGAAUACAUAGAUGGGCACUACAUGAUAUCUUAGAGCAAUUGAUAAGAAAAAGGCAAGAGAACUAAAAGAUACAGAGGUAGAAUUGCAGCUCAAUAUCAAAGACAAAUCAGAUGAGUUUAGAUUGCCUACAGAAGAGGCACUUCUCCAUUAAUUCUACUUCGAAGUUCUCCUGGUUCAUUUUGAAUUUGGAAACUUGAGGCUCUUAUGAUUUUCCUUUAGGAGCUUCAAGAAGAGGCACAAUGACCACCAGAUCUUCCAAAAUCUUCAGCGCAGAAUAAAAGAAUGUUUCCAGUUGCAGAGCUUGCAGAACUUAUUAAAGUGUUCGAAAAUCCAUGACCCACUUGCUUGGACAAAUGCUCUAAAGGUGAAAAAAGACUGGCUUUAUUCUAAUCAUACUAUUAUUCUUUAAUUUGUAAUAGCUUGGG
Magnolia sinica is the source of this 948-nucleotide long non-coding RNA. RefSeq lists it as uncharacterized. NCBI's taxonomy places the organism in Eukaryota, Viridiplantae, Streptophyta, Magnoliopsida, Magnoliales, Magnoliaceae. The record is from RefSeq and is a predicted model, not a curated record. The transcript is spliced from 3 exons.